RNAcentral lists this long non-coding RNA (514 nucleotides) under Volvox carteri. RNAcentral describes it as "long non-coding RNA (VCAR_LNC003914)". Lineage: Eukaryota; Viridiplantae; Chlorophyta; Chlorophyceae; Chlamydomonadales; Volvocaceae. The record is from RNAcentral.
UAGACGGCUCAUGCUGCCGCAUGGGCCGGGCAGUUUUUUGGACCUCGCACAUAGACGGCUUAGGCGGCCGCAUGGGCCGGGCAGUUUUUGGAUCUCGCGCAUCAAUUGCUUAAGGUUACUAACGGUUCCGAUAUUCUUCUCCCCUGCUUGGAGCCGGUAAAGACCGACAGCCGACAGCUAUAGGCUGGAGGGGCCAGUAACAUCCCACACAAGCUGCUUAUGAGGCCGGAUGUGGCCAGCAAUUUUGGACACUCGCUGUGCUUAGGCUGGAUGUGGCCAGAAGUCUCUUGUGAGAAGAGCUCUAAUACUGCCCGUCUUCACUGUGGUUAUGGCCGGAUGUGGCUCGCAGUUGUGAUUACUUUGGCAGUCGACAGGGAUGCACCCCACCCCCGCAAAGGGUACAUACUCAAGUGACUGCGGUAGGGUAAAGAGGCUACAAGACCCAUUAAAUCGGUCUGUCGUGCCCUACUGUGUGGGCAGGCUUAAAUCACCUUUGGUGCUAAAGCUGCGCGGG